This 42588-nucleotide long non-coding RNA is filed under the name Triticum aestivum (bread wheat). RNAcentral's name for it is "long non-coding RNA (TAES_LNC005909)". Lineage: Eukaryota; Viridiplantae; Streptophyta; Magnoliopsida; Poales; Poaceae. The record is from RNAcentral.
GAUAAGAACAAGAACACCCCACUGCACUAUGCCGCUGGAUACGGUCGGAAGGAAUGCGUGGAUCUUCUCUUGAAGCACGGCGCUGCUGUGUAAGUGAAACCAUCUAUUCUCUCUCUAAUUAACCAGCAUAAAUCUCGCUCGCGUUCAACUGUUUCUAAACGACUGCAGCACGCUCCAAAAUCUGGACGGGAAGACCCCCAUCGAGGUGGCCAAGCUCAACAACCAGGACGAGGUGGUGAAGCUGCUCGAGCAGGACGUGUUCCUAUGAAGCAAACCCUCAGACCCAGCGCUCGUCGAUCCUAAAACUCUCCCUUGGUUCUGGACUCUCGGCGGUGUCAUAUCGUGGCGUGGUGUUGAUUGUUUCCCCUCAGUUUUACUUAGUCGGUAGCUCUCGCCUGUAACCUGUGUGGCCUUGCGGUGCUACUCAACAGAGUCCCAUCUUCUUCUCAUUUGUUUUGAUCCUGCUGUGCAACCCUGUUCUUGGUCCAUCUCCAUGCACGGGGGAUAUGGGUUCGCUGUGGGAGCUGUCAGGGGUGAUGAUUGCGUAUAUACCCCUGUCGUGAAUAUUUCUUGGUGUUGAAAAUGAUAUCGCAAGGUGCAAUUUUUGUUUAAUCUGUUGUUUAGGCUGGCUGCUUCCGUGUUCUUCAUCUUUAGAAGAUCUUUGUGAGUCCUGUAACACGAACUCGGUUUCAGACUGAUUUUAGAAGGCGAUUGGAAAAAGGCACGAAGGCGAAACAAGUCAACAAGUGUGUUACUUGCUGCUUCGUUUAAUUCUGGAGUGGUUCCCUCUCGCUCUCUCUCCCCUGCGACAACUGUGGGUUGAUACAUCUUAUAGGGUGAAUAUCAGGUGAUACAAUGACUUGUAUGCUCCCAUGAUACUACUAAUUUGACAAAGUUGAUUUUAAAUGUUCUGAAAAUUCCAAAAAAAAAAACCCCACGGAUGUUCGCAAAACAUGUGUCUACGGUCCCUAAAAUAUUUAGAUCAAAAUUCGAAAUACAUAUUGAGAAACAAAAAAGACAAAUUCAGCAUAAUAGUGUCAAUAAAGACAAAGGGAUGAAUAUUGUCACAACCUAAAUUAUUCACAUCCGUUUUUCUUUUGUUUCUCUAUAUGUACUUUGAAUUUCUGAUCUAAAUUUUUUAGAGUUUGUAGACAUAUGUGUUCUGAACAUCCACAAUUUUUUCAGAUUUUUUCAAAACAUUUAAAUUUGACUUUUUAAAAUUGGUAUCAUGGGAGCAUACUAGAGGUGGUAUCACCUAUUGGCCAUCUACAUGCCAUGCUCUUUCCGGCAGCCCACCUACAGGCCAUCUCUACGCUAUGCUCUAACCACGCCUCUCUUCUCCUUCAGGGAACCCCACCUCAUAUACAAGCGUCAAGCUUUUAGCCGCCUCGCUAAGACGCUUAAGAUCUAGCAAUGUCAGAAGGUGCGCGACAUUGAGACGCAGAUCUUGAUCUCCAAGGAGAUCAUUUGGCAGCUUUGACAGGAAUCCCGCUUGUUCACUCAUAAGGAACGCUCUAUGCGCUGCAAUGUUAAGAGCAACUACAUGGGUCUCCUCUCGAUCCAAAAAAAUUGAAACGAGGCAUCAAAGCGGGCUCACAACCAUUUGAACUGCGGAUGCGAACACUAAACUUUUCCGCAUCAAAGCAAAUGAUUGCGGAAAGAAAAGUUUCAUCUAGUCGCUCGAGGACUACCAAUGGGGUCGCCAUCACGCAAGAGGACAAAGAACUUGCGCUCCACUCCCAUUACAGUGGGCACCUGGGAACGAAGUCGCAUUGCUUUGUUAAAAUCAACUGGGAGGCCCUUGGCUACCAGCGACGUGAUUUGUGUGACCUUGAUGCUGACUUUGAUGCGGACGAGAUCAAAGAGGUCGUGUUCUCCCUCCCCUCUGGCAAGGUGCUCGGCCCUGGUGGCUUCAUUGGGGCUUUCUUUAAAAAGGUCGUGUUCUCCCUCCCCUCUGGCGAGGCGCUCGACCCCAACGGCUUCUUCAUUGGGGCUUUCCUUAAAGAGGCCGUAUUCUCCCUUCUUUUUUGAAAUGAGGAUCAACUCUUUGACGAGGACGAGGUGUAUGAAAUGUUUGGUCCCUUUAUUAUGUUUGUGACAAAAUCUUUACAAACUUCUGUCAUCUUUCACCACCUAGCGAGUCUAUGCUGGACUCACGCCGCACCCACAUUCAAGCGUCUUUUUGUCUUUAGAAAAUAGGACCAAUGGUAGUGUCCGACUAGAAUACUGUACUGUCGCAAACCUUUCGUGAAAUACAUCUUUAGUUCAAAAAGGCAUGUCUGAAUUGUGUUUAUAUUUUUAUUGUUUCUACCUGGAUUCUUGCAUGAAUCUUCUUUGUUCUACUUUAGUAGAUGUGUCCUAAAAAGAAGAGCCUCAUUAACCUACACCAAAAAAAAGAGCGCGAAGCUGAUGAGGUCGUAAAACGAACGAUAAAACAAGAGCGCAAUGUGCACAUCACAAACUCAGUUUUUGGGAGGUACUAAAAGAGCGUGUUGCUUCACCUAAAAGAAAAACAUAGUUGAUGCCAAAAAAAAAAAUGCUUAGUGCUAAUGUAUAGCACAUCCCCCAUCGAAUUAAUUUAUACAACAUUUUUCUAUAUACAUUCGAACACUGUACACUUUUUUUGAGGGGGUUUAUAAAUAUACUGUACAUACUGUACAUAUUUUUUCGAUGCUGUUUGCGUCCAUGCCGGACGCGAAGCAGGUGGGCCAUCCCGUUCUUUUAAAUCGGAUCCAUCUUAUCUCCUGCGGCGGUAUGGUUUUUUUUUUCUAUUGUAUCGAUCUUUUUCUUUUUCUGAUUGAGAAUAUUCUGUUGUAUCGAUCGAACCACCCGUCGUGGAUCCUCGCUCGGCACACGCAACCGUCGGAUCCGGCCCGUUGCCGAUCCCACCACCCGCCUGCCAGUCCACCCGGGCUGACCGGGCGUUGCUGCGAGAGAACGGCACCGUUAUUUUAUCAGCCGUUUAUUAGCGCCCAAUGGCCCAUGGCCGGCGCACCGGGAGCGCGAGCGCUGGCAGCGGCAGGCAGGCACCACCAUGCUCGGCGCCAUCCUCCGGUUGCGGCUCCGCGUGCUCCGGCGCCACCUCCGUCUCCGCCUCCGCGGCCGCAGGCGGCGGUGGAGCUGUCGGUCCCGGAGAGGGGGCGGCGGCGAGGCGGGGGGUGAGGAGGAGGGGGCGCGCGAGCCGGUGCUGCUAGUGUCCGGGAUGGGCGGGUCGGUGCUGCACGCGCGGCGGCGGUCGGACACCAAGUUCGACCUCCGGGUCUGGGUGCGCAUCCUCCUCGCCGACCUCGAGUUCAAGAAGUACCUCUGGUCGCUCUACAACGCCCAGACCGGUGGGUUGUCCGUGUUCUCCAGCUGUUCGAUGAAACGUUUCGGUGCAGUGGGGGUGGUUGAUUGAUUGAGGUGGCUUCUCUCUUGUGGUUUCUCGCGCAGGGUAUGUGGAAUCGUUGGACGACGACGUGGAGAUUGUGGUGCCGGACGACGAUCAUGGCCUCUUCGCCAUCGACGUUCUCGAUCCUUCCUGGGUGAGUGGGCUUAUGGGUGCUAGUUCAGUGAAUGGAGUUGAAUAGUGGAUCUUUUCUUCCGUUCGUGUGAUGAACUGUACACUGACAGUAGGUUUAUUUUUUGCCCCUUUUUGUGAGCAUGGCCGGUGGGAGUUUUUUGGGGGCGAUUCUUGUGACACUUGGUGUCUGUUAAUUGGGGCAAAUGGGAAGGGAGAAGAGGAAGUGGACAUAUAGAGAUAGAGGGAUCAGUGAUGGAUAUCCGUUUCGUACUGUCGUAUGGAGAGCUUUCUUGUGCUUUUAACUUACUAGUGCUCUUGGAGAAUGGAUAACAGGAUAGGGACAGGCAUUUGGUACAUAUGGACUGUAAAUUGCAUUUAGAUUGUGGACCGACUAGGAUGAAAAAAAUGGAUUUAUGUGGACCAUGGUUGCUUACACAGGAAAAAAAAUACUGAGCCGGAGCUAUUAUAGCCAUCAAAUUUGUAUUUAUAUUCUCUUAACUUCAAGGAAUUAAGCCGUGCUUUGGCUCGUGAAAUGUUCAAUCAAAUGAUCUAUGCAGUAUAUGAGGAAUCACAGGGCUAGAACUGGUAGCUGAAAAUGGAGCAAUGAAACAGUGAUAGUACAUGCCAAGUUGCUAACAUGCUUGCAUGUCGUAUCAACAAGAUUUGUGUUCGAAUAAUUAAUCCAUCGGUGAAACUGAUGCUUAUCCUGCUUGAUUGCUCUUGGUACUUAGACAUUUUGACGUUGAUUUCAGGUGGAAUUAAUUCCGUAACUGCUGAGUUCGAAACAAAAAUAAACAUUUUUUAUAUUGUAAAAAUAUUGGACAGGGAAUUUUACUUAAAAAUGGUAUCUUAGCUGUUGAUACCGAAUGAGUUCACUUCAAGAAUUCAUGGGAUGGCUAAUCCCCCAUAUAGGGGUAUUUUAUCAUGUAAUUCAAAUCAUUAUUCAAGAAGCGAACUCCCUUUCUGAAUUAAUUGCCGUCUCUGAUUUAACCAGUUGUUGCAAAGAGCAUAAUUUUUGUGAUCUGAUUUGUGCCCCAUCUCUCUUAACUUCAGUUUGUAGAGCUACUGCAUCUGACUAUGGUGUACCAUUUCCAUGAUAUGAUUGAUAUGCUCCUUGACUGUGGAUAUGAGAAAGGAACAACACUAUUUGGAUAUGGUUAUGAUUUUCGUCAAAGCAACAGGUGCAAUCCUCUAAAUCAACACUUAAGUGGGUUCAUUCGGAUGCUAUAAUCAGUAGCAUAAAAAGUGGCUUAGCCUAAAACAUGUUCUGUUUCACAAGCACAAGGUGCUGUAACGAUGGUUUUAUCUGGCAGGAUAGACAAAGCAAUGGCUGGUUUGAGAGCAAAACUUGAGACGGCUUACAAGGCCUCUGGUGGGAAAAAAGUAAACAUAAUCUCCCAUUCUAUGGGAGGAUUGCUAGUACGCUGUUUCAUGUCUAUGAAUCAUGAUGUGAGUUUUCUUGUUUGAUAUGCCACUUUGCCUAUGCAGCCAAAAUUCGUUUCUAAAAUCUUUCCAUUUCAUUUUUCUAGAUAUUUUCAAAGUAUGUUAAUAAAUGGAUUUGCAUUGCUUGUCCAUUUCAAGGUAAUGCACUUUCAGUCAAUUGAUAUAUUCUAUCACUUCUCACCUUUGAUAGGAUACACUUCUUAUAUUAGUUCUCAUAUCUUGGCAGGUGCCCCAGGAUGCAUCAAUGAUUCUCUUCUAACUGGACUGCAGUUUGUUUAUGGUUUUGAAAGUUUCUUUUUCGUUUCUCGAUGGGCGAUGCACCAACUGGUAACUUCUUGACCAUGUUGCAUCUAAGCUUCAUGAACUCAUCAAUGUUUGCUACUGUACAGUAGCUAUUCCAUGCCAUUUAAAAAUAAUCUCUGCCUCUUCACUUUAUGUAGCUGGUUGAGUGCCCAUCAAUCUACGAAAUGCUGCCAAAUCCAAACUUUGAGUGGAAGGAAAAACCAUUCGUUCAGGUUUGGCGAAAGAAUCCUGAAAAGGAUGGAACAGUAGAGCUAGUUUUGUAUGAAGCAACUGAUUGUGUUUCUCUGUUUGAAGAAGCUUUACAAAAUAAUGAGGUAUUCAUACUCACUUCUACAUGUUUUUGAUAAUAAUGCCAUUUUUGUUGUAUACUGGCCACGCAAGCUCAUUUACUAGAGACAAGAAACAUCCAGACACAGACUUACUGUAAUACGCAUGAAAAUCACAUGUACAUUGUCCAGUACAUUAAUUUCAUAGUAUACACAUUAUUUGUAGAUUCCAGAUAUUUUUUACUUUCGACAGUCAGGGUCUUAGGGACAAUAUGCACUACAAAUGAAUUUAUUCUUUGUGGUAGUGGCAGUGCACUAUGCAUGUUUCCUUUGAUUGUUAUGUCGUGUUUUUUAACCUAUAAAUGUAAUGAACUAUUCAGUACCAUGCCCAUGGAUAAACAUCAUAGAGACACUGCUACCUGGAGUUGCCUGGCAUCAGCCAUCAAGACAGUUAUAGAAUCAACGAGAUGUACCUUGGGAAAUGGAUCCAGAAUCUCCUUCUGGCACGACUGGUGGUUGGACUGUGGAAGGCUGAAAUUCUCUUUCCCAAUUCUCUUCACCUUUGCACAAUCGCCUUAUUGCACUGUUGCCUCGCAGUUCACUGAUGGACAAUGGAACCUCAAGCUACAUCCGAAUUUAACUAUGACAGCCACAAGAGAAAUGGAGGCCUUACUGAUGAUUCUAGUUGGAGUGCAUCCAUCUAUUUCUCACACUGAAACAGAUCAGAGAAACCCUUGUAUGAAAUCUGGAAAGGUCACCACUGCAUUCUUCUAUGAGCUGCUCACGUUCAGGGGGAUCCUUUGCCCAGCUGCUCCAAAAAUAUGGGACACUUUGAUACCCAACAGACAUCGGGUCUUCCUUUGGCUGGCUCUACGAGGUAGACUGAACACAAGAGAUAAUAUUCUCAAAAGAGGCUGGACGUCAAUCACAACACACAAUGGCUGCGACCUGUGCCCUGCAACCGAAAACAGUAGCCAUAUCAUCCUCAGAUGCAGGCUUGCUGAUGCUGUUUGGGAGCGGGCAGGCGUGCAAGACAAGGCAAGAAGCUCCAAUGAUCUCCAGAUUUUUCUACUCGCCACGGAACCCCCUGCAUAUGGCAACCUCUGGCAUAUUGUUUUUGCAGCCUGCGCCGUGUCUCUCUGGUCUGCCAGGAACGAGCAGGUCUUCCAGCACACACGAUGGUCCGCUGGCAAGGUGUUGAGCACGAUUGCAGACCUGCUGCGCCUGUGGAGUAAUCGUGCGAAUAACAAUGAGGAUAGGAUUAAGCUGUGUAAUUUUGCUGCUCUUUUCCAUACCCCUUUUUCUACCUCUUUUUAGGCUUGGUGACGGCUAGCUGCACUGUCGCAGCGCUUACGCCACCUUCAUGUAAUCUGGUUCUAACCAGCCGGGCCUCGCCCGUUUUGAAUGCAUAAGGUAGAUCAUGAUCUACCUUUCCUUUCAAAAAAAAAAUGAACUAUUCAGACAUUCCCACUUUAUCUUGUUUUAUUCUCAGAAAAACUUUUCCUUCCAUUAUUUUUUUAACAAGUGGAAGUUGAUUUAACUCUUGCAUGAAGCUAUAUAAUGUAUUUUUUGACUCUUAGUCAGCUACUUGUUUGAUACUUCAUUCUAUUUUCUCUCUCUGUAGCUCAAUUAUAAUGGGAAGACAAUUGCACUACCAUUCAAUAUGUCCAUCUACAAAUGGGCUACUGAGACUCGCUGUAUUCUUGAGAAUGCUGAACUACCAGAUACCGUGAGUUUUUAUAGUAUACAUGGGACAUCUUAUGAAACACCAUAUGAUGUUUGGUAAGUAUUAUGAUGGCAAUUAAUACUAACAUCGUGUGUUUUUAACUUUUUAUACUGUUCAAGAAAUGAUAGUGUGAGAUUCAUCAUUAUUGUUAGGGUACGUGAGAUUCAUUAUUAUUGUUAGCGUACUAUAACUCUAGUGUUGCUCAUUAGUUGGGAGCUUUCGAUACAAUAGCUGAUAUGAUUGAAUAACAAUGAAGCAAUUUCCUGUUGAUGUUCGCUUCACAGUAGUCGACUUUUAAGCUUCAAAACAAGUGCUAUCAGCUUAUAUUCAGUAUUUUUUCCUUCUGCAACGAUAACCAGAGUUGUUUUCUUAUAGAUAAAUUCAGAAGCUGAUGAAUCUGAUAGCAAAUGUACUGCGUUUCAUUCCUCCUGGCUUUCCUUUUUUGCACAGCUAUGGCUCUGAAAGCUCCCCAAUUGGAGAUCUCUCAGAAGUGUGCCGCACAGUGGUACUGUCUUCCGUUACUUGAAGUCUGACAUGUUCUUGUUGGAAUCUUGCAAUGUCUGUUUAUGGUAAUGACAUGUGAUUAUCCUAUUGUCAGCCUACAUACACAUACGUGGAUGGAGAUUGCACUGUUCCUGUCGAAUCAGCCACGGUAACCAUUCUUUCUGUCAUAGUGAAGUAUGCGAACUAUCUAGUUGCAAAAACAUCUUAUAUUGUGGGACGGAGGGGGUAUCUGUUUUAAAAGCAGAAGCUUUGGUGCACUAAGCUGUACUUUAGCUGAUUAUACUCCUCUAACAUGGGGUCCGGCAACGGUGGUUAUGCCUGUGUUACACAAAUGCUUAUCAUCUUACAUUCUGCAAUGUGUUUGUGUUCCUUUUCGGACGAUAGCAUAUCUUAUUACAACCAAUUUUAUCAGAUAGCGUGCCUUUGCCUAGCCUUGCCAUUCACAAUAUUGGAUUUACAAGCUUCCCCUGCACUUAUGCAUCUCUGUUUGCUGACAGGCUGAUGGGUUCCCGGCGAAAGAAAGGGUAGGCGUCAGGGCCGACCACCGAGGGCUGCUGUGUGAUGAGAAUGUGUUCAAGCUUCUCAAGAAAUGGCUCGGCAUAAGCGAGAACACACGGGGUAGGGUGUCGAAAUCGCAAAUCAUGGACAUGCUCCCAGAAAGGACGUCUGAUCAGGUCACUCUCCGCAGAGACUAGCUCCGGGUCCUGAUAGAUGUAACGUUGCUUUCCUUGAGGGAACAAUUAUUUUGGUCCUUUUCCUUGAAGAGACGACGCGCAGAUGUACUGGUGAUUGUGCACAAAACUUGUCUACGGUGUGGAACAGGCGUAAUCCAAAAUAGUUUCAGAACAUUGUGAAGCAACACUUCAUGGACAUAUAUUACAUUGUAUAAAUAUAUAUCAUAUGCACCUGGAAACUUUUGCAAAAUAUUAUGACUAUUUUUGUAUCAGACCAAGCGAUCGGCUUCAACAGUCCUCCGCUGGCAUUUCCCGUCCCCUUGCCUCCUAUCACCGGCUUCGGGUGGCUGGGUUCCCAGUUUCCUCUCGUUGUGGCUGGGUUCCCAGUUUCCUCUCGUUGCGAUCGCUGUGAAAGUAAGGUCCUUUGGUUUCUUCAUCGUCGUGCCAACAUCUUUCCCGACAUUGAAGUAGAGCUAGUGAAGGCAUGUUCGGGUCUAGAUGUGAGGUCCUGUCGCCGAUGGUCGACCCCAACAACUGACUUAAUCUCUUCACAGAGUCGCUGACGCUUGUCCGGUCGCGGAAUCCCAUCGUGGAGCUCUCGUCCGCCAGUGCCUUGCCAGAAUGACUCAACCAAGCGCGGCAACGGCAAACGACGAAGCAAUGAAGAACAUUAUCCAUGAUGGAGGCGGACACGAAGACGGACAAAUAGAUGACUACCAGCCGGAGCAAGAGCCAAUUGCCACAUCCGGACACCCAAUUGCCGGACAUCCAACAGGCAUACACCAAGCAGCCAGGAAUUUGGGCCGAACGGCCAAUAGCCGCCGGGUGCCGUCCCAAAGAAGAAGAGCAGAGGAUUGAUGUACUCCAGGCGUGGUUGGCCACCAGUGUGGACCCGUUUCAUGGACAGAGCCAAAGGGCAUAAUUGUGCAUGACUGUUUUCAUGAGCAAAUGUGCUAUGAUCUCUAUCACACGGAAGUGACCCAUGAUCACAAUCCGUAGUCAAGUUUUGCAGUUUGUACAAACAAGUGCAAAACCGGUGGCCCGUUCUCUCGCAGCAACGCCCGGUCAGCCCGGGUGGACUGGCAGGCGGGUGGUGGGAUCGGCAACGGGCCGGAUCCGACGGCUCGCGUGUGCCGAGCGAGGAUCCACGACGGGUGGUUCGAUCGAUACAACAGAAUAUUCUAAAAAAAAAGAUCGAUACAGUAGAAAAAAAUAAUACCAUACCGCCGGAGGAGGUAAGAUGGUUCCGAUUUAAAAGAACGGGACGGCCCAUCUCCGACGCGUCCGGCAUGGACGCAAACAGCAUUGAAAAAAUGUGUACAGUAUAUUUAUAAACCCCCUCAAAAAAAAGUGUACAGUAUUCGAAUGUAUAUAGAAAAAUGAAAUGUUGUAUAAAUUAAUUCGAUGGGGGAUGUUCUAUACAUUAGCACUAUAAGCAUUUUUUUGGCGUCAACUAUAUAUGUUUUUCUUUUAUGUGAAGCAACACGCUCUUUAGGUACCUCCGAGAAACUGAGUUUGUGACGUGCACACUGCGCUCUUGUUUUAUCAUUCGUUUUAUGACCUCGUCAACUUCGCACUCUUUUUCUUGGUGUAGGUUAACGAGGCUCUUCUCUUUAGGACACAUCCACUAAAGUAGAACAAAGAAGAUUCAUGCAAGAAUCAAGGUAGAAACAAUAAAGAUAUAAACACAAUAAGACUUGCCUUUUUGAACUAAAGAUGUAUUUCAUGAAAGGUUUGCGAUGGUACAGUAUUCUAAUCUGACACUACCAUUGGUCCUAUUUUUCAAAGACAAAAAGACGCCUGAAUACGGCGUGAGUCCAACAUAGACUCGCUAGGUGGUGAAAGACGACAGAAGUUUGUAAAGAUUUUGUCACAAACAUAAUAAAGGGACCAAACAUUCCAUACACCUCGUCCUUGUCGAAGAAUGAUCCUCAUUUCAAAAGGGGAGGGAGAAUACGAGGGCGGAUAGUUACCGGACGCCAUGGCGGAUCCGACGGGCGGGCGGCGACGACGACGCGGAGGAGGCUUGCGAGGGAGGGAAGGCAGUUGCGGUGAAGCGGCGAAAGGUAGGAGAGGAGAGGAGGAAAACCCUUGAUGAGGGGAGGUUGCUGAUUGGGAAAAGGCGGAGAGCAAGUAGGCGUAUUUUUAUGCUUUCCCCCUCUAACAAGAAAUUAUUUAUUUGAGGUAAAGGCAUCACAUGCCAAGGAGCUUGUAGAAAAUGUGAUGAUUUAGUCCAGGUGCUUGCAAAACUCCAUCCGUCACCCAACAACUUGCAUGGAAUGUGAUGAUUUAGUCCAGGUGCUUGCAAAACUCCAUCCGUCACCCAACAACUUGCAUGGAAUGUGAUAAUUUGGUCCAAAGUGAAUCAAGAAGCACCAAGUGGCGCCGCGCUGGCUGAUCCGGUCAUCAACGUCGGUUUUGCAGGUACACCCUUGCCAUUUUCACUAGUACAAAACAGGGCUUUGGUUCGGGCAGGGCAAGCCCAUUAGUCCCGGUUCAGUCACGAACCGGGACCCAUGGGGGCAUUUGUCCCGGUUCUUUAGCCCAGGGGGCCGGCCGGGGCCUCGUGGGCAUUGGUCCCGGUUCGUAUGGACCCAUUUGUCCCGGUUCUAGGCACGAACCGGGACCAAAGGGCCUCUCUUCUGGCCCACAAACAUUGGUCCUGGUUCUUGGCUCGAACCGGAACAAAAGGCUGGGCUUUAGUCCCGGUUCCAGCCACAAACCGGGACAAAUGAGUUGCCUAUAUAUACCACGUCGCCGCAGCAGAGCACUCCACAGUGCUCUGUUUUUUCUGGCCAGCGAGGAGAGGGCAUUUGGGUGUUCUAGCUCACCUCCUAUGCACAUGGGGUGUUCGAUGAAAUGCCCGAGCCACGUUAGUUAAGCUUUCUCCUCUCGAAGCUCGACCUCCAAGCUCCAUUUUUCCCGAGAUUUGUCUAGGUUUAGCGGUCCGUCCCGUCCCGUCCCCGUCUUCACCACCGUCGAUCGCCCGCGCCGAUCUCGUCGCCUGCACCACCGUGGUGAGCCUCUUGUUCUUAUCUUCUUCUGAAGAAAAAAAUUCUUACUUUAGAUAGAUACGUGUCUAAUUUUCUUACUUUUAUUAUUGCUUGUUAUUAUAUAGUGCGAUGGCUUUGGUAUCCGCCCCCGUCGGCCCUCGUCCUGGCUAUGAUUCGGAUGUGGUAUAUAUAUUAUCUUUUAUAACUAUUUGGUUCAUUUAUUGUUUAUAACAAUUAUGCCCAUCAAGUUGACAUAGAUUUUAUUUAUGUAGGAGGUAGUUGAACCGGAAAUUCCAACCGACCCUAUUGUCGAGAGGUUAAAUUUAGUUGAAGAAGAAAACAAUUACUUGAAGGAAAAAAUUGAGGAGAAGAUGAUAUUGGAGUUGCAUGUUGCGGAUGUCGUCGAUGAUCACAAGAUCAAGAUGGAUGCAAUGCGGUUGAAGAUUAGAAAGAUUAGAAAAUAUGCCAUUCAUACCGAGGCUUGGUAUCAUUAUGCCGUUGGAUCGCAUUUGUUGUUGCAUUGAAAGGUUUUACAUAGUUUCAAUGUAUGGUUUAACUAUAUGCUCUGGAGAGCUAUAUGUUGUUCAAUGAGAACUAUGUAUGUACUUUGUUUUUAAUGUGAUGAUGAACUUCUACUAAUUUGGUCACUUAUCUAUUCAUGAGAGCUAUAUAUACUAAACUGAUGAUGUGGCUUUGAAUGGUGCAUUUUUGAUGACCCACAAGUAUAGGGGAUCUAUCGUAGUCCUUUCGAUAAGUAAGAGUGUCGAACCCAACGAGGAGCAGAAGGAAAUGAUAAGCGGUUUUCAGCAAGGUAUUCUCUGCAAGCACUGAAAUAAUAGGUAACAGAUAGUUUUGUGAUAGGAUAAUUUGGAACGAGUAACAAGUAACAAAAGUAAAUAAAGUGCAGCAAGGUGGCCCAAUCCUUUUUGUAGCAAAGGACAAGCCUGGACAAACUCUUAUAUGAUGUAAAGCGCUCCCGAGGACACAUGGGAAUAUCGUCAAGCUAGUUUUCAUCAUGUUCAUAUGAUUCGCGUUCGGUACUUUGAUAAUUUGGUAUGUGGGUGGACCGGUGCUUGGGUGCUGCCCUUACUUGGACAAGCAUCCCACUUAUGAUUAACCUCUAUUGCAAGCAUCCGCAACUACAACAAAAGUAUUAAGGUAAACCUAACCAUAACAUGAAACAUAUGGAUCCAAAUCAGCCCCUUACGAAGCAACACAUAAACUAGGGUUUAAGCUUCUGUCACUCUAGCAACCCAUCAUCUACUUAUUACUUCCCAAUGCCUUCCUCUAGGCCCAAAUAAUGGUGAAGUGUCAUGUAGUCGACGUUCACAUAACACCACUAGAGGAAAGACAACAUACAUCUCAUCAAAACGAACGAAUACCAAAUUCACAUGACUACUAAUAGCAAGACUUCUCCCAUGUCCUCAAAAACAAUGUAACUACUCACAAAGCAUAUUCAUGUUCAUAAUCAGAGGGGUAUUAAUAUGCAUAUAGGAUAUGAACAUAUGGUCUUCCACCAAAUAAACCAACCAGCAUCAACUACAAGGAGUAAUUAACACUACUAGCAACCCACAUAUACCAAUCCCGGACUUGGAGACAAGAAUUGGAUACAAGAGAUGAACUAGGGUUUUGAGAGGAGAUGGUGCUGGUGAAGAUGUUGAUGGAGAUUGCCCUCUCCCGAUGAGAGGAGCGUUGGUGAUGACGAUGGCGAUGAUUUCCCCCUCCUGGAGGGAAGUUUCCCCGGCAGAACAGCUCCGCCAGAGCCCUAGAUUGGUUCCGCCAAGGUUCCGCCUCGUGGCGGCGGAGUCUCGUCCGGGAAGAUGGCUUAUAAUUUUUUCCUCAUCGAAAGACUCCAUAUAGCAGAAGAUGGCCAUCGGAGGGCCACCAGGGGGCCCAUGAGGUAGGGGGGCGCGCCCCACCCUCGUGGGCAGGGUGUGCCCCUCUGGUGAACUUCUUGCGCUCAGUAUUUUUUAUAUAUUCUGAAAAUGUCUUCCGUGAAGUUUCAGGACUUUUGGAGCUGUGCAGAAUAGGUCUCUAAUAUUUGCUCCUUUUCCAGCCUAGAAUUCCAGCUGCCGGCAUUCUCCCUCUUUAUGUAAACCUUGUAAAAUAAGAGAGAAUAGGCAUAAGUAUUAUGACAUAAUGUGUAAUAAUAGCUCAUAAUGCAAUAAAUAUCGAUAUAAAAGCAUGAUGCAAAAUGGACGUAUCAACUCCCCCAAGCUUAGACCUCGCUUGUCCUCAAGCAAAAGCCGAAAUCGAAAAAUAUGUCCACAUGUUUAGAGAUAGAGGUGUCGAUAAAAAUAAAAUACGGACAUGAGGGCAUCAUGAUCAUUCUUAUAAUAGCAACUUAUAUAAUUCUUGUCAUAUGAUCUCUUAUGCCAGAGUAACAAUUCAAUCACAAUUUCAAGUAUGAAUCAUAAACUUCAUUGAAAACUAACAAACUAUAAUCUCAGUCAUUGAAGCAAUUGCAAUGUAUCAUAUCAUAGGAAAGAGUCAAUAUAAGAGCUUUUCAGCAAGUCCACAUACUCAACUAUCAUUUAGUCUUUCACAAUUGCUAACACUCACGCAAUACUUAUGGGUAUAGAGUUUUAAUCGGACACAAAGAAAGAUAGGGGCUUAUAGUUUUGCCUUCCAACGAUUUACCUCAAGGGUAAUGUCAACAAUAAUAGUUCAUGAAAACUCACAUCCAAUUAGCCAUAUAUACCAGGAUCUUUCCAACAUGUUGUGCUUGCCAAAAGAUAAAAUGUAAAAAGGAAAGGUGAAGAUCACCAUGACUCUUAUGUAAGGUAGGAGAUAAAAGUAAAAGAUAGGCCCUUCACAGAGGGAAGCAGAGGUUUCAUGCGCUUUUAUGGUUGGAUGCACAAAAUCUUAAUGCGAAAGAACGUCACUUUUAUUGCCACUUGUGAUAUGGACCUUUAUUAUGCAGUCCAUCGCUUUUAUUUCUUCCAUAUCACACGAUCAUACAAAUUUUAUUUUCUCCCACACUAAUAAGUCAUACAUAUUUAGAGAGCAACUUUUAUUGCUUGCACCGAUGACAACUUACUUGAAGGAUCUUACUCAAUCCAUAGGUAGAUAUGGUGGACUCUCAUGGCAAAGCUGGUUUAAGGCUGUUUGGAAGCACAAGUAGUAUCUCUACUUGGUGCAAAGAAUUUGGCUAGCAUGAGGGGGAAAGGCAAGCUCAACCAUGUUGGAUGAUCCAUGACAAUAUAAUUUAUCUCAGAUGUAAGAAAACAUAACCCAUUACAUUGUCUUCCUUGUCCAAUGUCAGCUCUUUAGCAUGUCAUAUUUUAAUGAGUGCUCACAAUCAUAAAAGAUGUCCAAGAUAGUAUAUUUAUAUGUGAAGACCUCUCUUUCUUUAUUACUUCCUAUUAAUUGCAAUGAUGACCAAAACUAUGUUUGUCAACUCUCAACAACUUUUAUUCAUCAUAGUUUUUCUAUGUGAGCUCAUUACUCUCCAUAAGAUCCAUACGAUCUCUUUGUUUCUUUUUAUUUCUUUCUCUUUUCUGUUAUUCACUUAAGAUCAUGGAAAAAUAGUCAAGCCCUUGACUCAACACUAAUAUUUAUUAUAUAUAGCUCACGGACUCGAUUACAUAGAAGGAUCAUAAAGCAAAACUCACAACUAGAUCAUACUAAGAACUCUUAUUCUACUAGAUCAAGAUAUUAUCAAAAGGAUCGAACUAAGAAAAACGGCAAAGAUAAAAGUGACGGUGAUACGAUACCGGGGCACUCCCCCAAGCUUGGCAGUUGCCAAGGGGAGUGCCCAUACCCAUGUGAUUAUGUAUCCUUUGUUGGUGAAGAAGGUGGAGUUGUUGGUGAUGGAUACUCGCACAUCGAGCGUAGGAGGUCUUCUAAUUUGCGGAUAAUGCCUUUGAGUGCGAUGAUAUGCUCCUUCAACAAAAUAUUUUCACGUGUGAGAUACUUAUUUUGUAUACGAGCUAACUCGAUCAUCUUGAAAGCUUCGAUCUCAGUUGGGGUAAGAAGAUUUUGAUCAAGUUGAAGGAUGUCUUUUGUUGCCAGAACUUGGUCCUCCGUGGUCUUCUUGAUCCCUUCAUCCUUAUUGAUUUCCAUGGGUUCUUCUCUCUUCAGCUCUAUCUUCAUUAGCCAAGCAUUGUUGCCCUCAUGGUUGCAGGAGGAGGGAGACGACAUAAUGCCUGGCCUUGAUAACCCUGACAGAAAACAGCUCGAAACAAAGACAAGAGAUAUUUGCGUGAUACGGGGGUCAAAACCUUCGGGAGGUUAUAUAAUGAAUUUUUACCGACCAAAAUAUGUAUCGUGUAAGAAAACGGAGUCCGGAAAGCGCACGAGGUGCCCACGAGGUAGGGGGCGUGCCCAGGGGGUAGGGCGCGCCCUCCACCCUUGUGGAGCCCUCGUGUCCUUCCCGGACUGCUUCUUAUUUUUCUAUUUUUAUAAAUAUUCUAAAAUGGAGAAAUAUUUCCAUUAGAACUGUUUUGGAGUAGGUUUACUUACCGUACCACAUACCUAUUCCUUUUCGGAGUCUGAAACGUUCCGAAAAGUGUCCCUUAUGUAUUCCUCCGGGGUUACGGUUUCAAUAACAUUGGUUUCAACAUUUAUAGGAUUACCUGAGAAAUAAUGUUUAAUUCUUUGACUGUUCACCACCUUCGGAUUUAUGCCUUCGAAGUUGUUGAUUUUUAUGGCACCGGAACGAUAGACCUCCUCGAUAACGUAAGGACCUUCCAAUUUAGAGAGAAGUUUUCCUGCAAAAAAUCUUAAAUGAGAGUUGUAUAGCAAUACAUAAUCAUCUACAUUAAACUCACGCUUUUGUAUCCUUUUGUCAUGCCAUCUUUUAACUUUUUCUUUAAAUAAUUUGGCAUUCCUCAUAGGCUUGGGUUCUCCAUUCAUCAAGUGAGCUAAUGUCAAAUAACCUCUUCUCACCGGCAAGUUUGAAAUCAUAGUUGAGCUCUUUAAUUGCCCAAUAAGCCUUAUGUUCUAGUUCAAGAGGUAAGUGACAUGCUUUUCCAUAAACCAUUUUAUACGGAGACAUACCCAUAGGAUUUUUAUAUGCAGUUCUAUAGGCCCAUAAUGCAUCAUCAAGUUUCUUGGACCAAUUCUUUCUAGAUCUAUUAACAGUCUUUUGCAAAAUUAAUUUGAGUUCUCUGUUACUCAAUUCUACUUGACCACUAGACCGUGGGUGAUAAGGAGAUGCAAUUCUAUGAUUAACAUCAUAUUUAGCAAGCAUUUUACGGAAAUAACCAUGAAUAAAAUGUGAACCACCAUCAGUCAUUAAAUAUCUAGGGACUCCCUUCAUCCUCGAUAUAUGCAGCACACCCCCUAUGCUUCACAGACGAAGUAAUGGAUCACCAAAUCCCAGAGGGUUUCAAACCCGUAAAUUUCGAAUCAUACGACAGUACAACAGAUCCUGCGGUAUGGAUCGAGGACUUCCUCCUACACAUCCACAUGGCCCGCGGUGACGAUCUACAUGCCAUCAAAUACCUCCCACUCAAACUCAAAGGACCAGCUCAGCAUUGGCUCAACAACCUGCCAGCAGAAUCCAUUGGCUGUUGGGAAGAUCUGGAAGCCGCAUUCCUCAACAACUUUCAGGGCAUUUAUGUGCGACCACCAGAUGCCGAUGACUUGAGCCACAUAAUUCAGCAGCCAGAGGAAUCGGCCAGACAAUUCUGGACACAGUUCCUGACAAAGAAAAAUCAAAUUGUCGACUGUCCGGAUGCAGAGGCCCUAGCAGCUUUUAAGCACAACAUCCGCGACGAGUGGCUCGCCCGACACCUUGGUCAGGAAAAGCCGAAAUCUAUGGCAGCCCUCACGACACUCAUGACCCGCUUUUGCGUGGGAGAGGAUAGCUGGCUGGCUCAAAGCAAUAACAUAUCAAAGAACCAUGGUACUUCGGAUACCAAGGAUAGCAAUGGCAGGUCAUGUCGCAACAAACACAAGCGCCGCAUCAACAAUGACAAUACCGAGUAUACGGCAGUCAAUGCCGGAUUCAGAGGCUCUAAACCCGGUCAGCGGAAAAAGCCAUUCAAAAGAAGCACUCCAGGCCCGUCCAGUUUGGAACGUAUACUCGAUCGCUCGUGUCAAAUACACGGCACCCCCGACAAGCCAGCCAACCACACCAACAGGGAAUGUUGGGUGUUCAAGCAGGUCGGCAAGUUAAAUGCCGAAAACAAAGAUAAGGGGUUACAUAGUGAUGACAAGGAGGAGCCCCGACCGCCGAACACCGGAGGACAGAAGAGGUUCCCCCCACAAGUGCGGACGGUGAACAUGAUAUACGCAACCCACAUACCCAAGAGGGAGCGGAAGCGUGCGCUAAGGGACGUAUAUGCGUUGGAGCCAGUCACCCCAAAGUUCAACCCAUGGUCCUCCUGUCCGAUCACCUUCGAUCGCAGGGACCACCCCACUAGUAUCCGUCAUGGCGGAUUCGCCGCACUGGUCCUAGACCCAAUCAUCGACAAAUUUCACCUCACUCGAGUCCUUAUGGAUGGCGGCAGCAGCCUGUACCUGCUUUAUCAGGACAUAGUGCGCAAAAUGGGUAUAGACCCCUCAUGGAUCAAACCCACAAAAACGACCUUCAAAGGCAUCAUACCAAGUGUAGAGGCCCAUUGCACAGGCUCAGUCACACUGGAAUUGGUCUUCGGAUCCGCGGAUAACUUCCGAAGCGAGGAGUUAAUCUUCGAUAUAGUCCCGUUCCGCAGUGGCUAUCACGCACUGCUCGGGCGAACCACAUUUGCGAGAUUCAAUGCGAUACCGCAUUAUGCAUACCUCAAGCUCAAGAUGCUAGGACCUCGGGGGGUCAUCACAGUCAAUGGAAACACAGAGCACUCUCUCCGCACAGAGGAGCACACUGCGGCCCUCGCAGCAGAAGCACAAAGCAACCUCUUCAGGCAAUCCACCAGUUCGGUGAUUAAACACCCGGACACCGUCAAGCGCGCCCGGAGUAAUCUGCAACAAUACCGCCUGGCACGUUUCGAGCUCGCAUAGCAAUGCGGCCCCCACCCCAGUUCCAGCCAAACGGCGAAAUCCAUGCCACGCAUACAUAAUUACGCAUUGAAAAUACCAUGGGCAUAGGUGGGGGGGGGGCACGACUACGGCACGCCCCAAAACGCGGCUCAACCGCACUAGGGGCUUACCGCUUUGUUAUUUUUUCUCUCUUUCAUGACUUUACUCUCUGGAAACCCCGUCCGGCAUUACGAUUGUCGGACACACGAUACAACAACCAAGGAGGCAGAAAGCUACGUCGCACCAUGGAAUUCCCAGGUGAUCUCUGGUAACGAGUGAAAUGCCUGCUUUAAAUACCAUUCCUCAGCUUGCCCUUGGAGGGGACAUGUCAAAUAGUCCUACUUUUUGCUUAUCGCACUACUUGUAUCAUUCUGCUUCGACGCACCUUUUUGAAUAAACAAUGCAUAACACUAGACUAUUACCGCAUUUCUAUUCUUUAUAUAUAUAUAUAUGUUCAUUCAUGACAUUCAACACCCGUACGCUCUGGUACGGCCAGCCAGGGGCUUAAGCGUACCCUAUAAUACGGCGUGAGAAGUCCGAACACUUUCGACAGUGCGGCACCCCAAACUUAUAGCAUUAUAUGCAUCAGCUCCGAAUCAUGUCUUGGGUCAAUAGUUGGGUUUGCCCGGCUCCCAUGUUUUCGUACCUUACGUUCUGCUAUAUCGGCUAAGAUAGCAAUGGGAGAACUACUGCGAUUGUGCCCCAGUUCAUCUGGGCAAGCACCUCAGUAGAGAAAGCUAAAACUGUCUGUCAUGAUAAGGUGAGAGCUGGUCGCUGUUCGAGAGGUCUCGAGUCCCUAAAGACUUAUGCCGCUUAGGGCGAGGAGUCGGCUUUAUCCGGCUUAGGCAUGUAUAGCGCCCCGAAUUCGACCUUCCGAAUACUAGGGGCUUCGCCAAAAUUUAAAAUUGUAGACUUCUAUGGCUAAGUGAGAGUGAUAAAGCAUUAUAGUCCGAUUUCCUUGUUCGUUGCGCUGAGAACCUCCCUCGAAGGACCCAAAAAUGGGAAAAAAAGUGCUCAGAUUUAUCCCGAACACCCCAGCACUCGUGGCAUGGGGGCAGAAGCCGACGACUGGCCAUCUCUCAGAUUUGAUAAACAGCCGCACAAAAGGUAAUAUUUUAAAUUCAAACAAGCGUUGCAUAGCGCACAUGAACAAGUUUUCAUAAUACAGGAUCACACGAGUAAGUUCAUUCAAAAAUUACAUCCUUCGCACACUCGUCCACCACAAGACGGGCACCCUUCAGGACACCCUCAUAAUACAUUUCAGGGUGGCGAUGCUCCUUGCCCUGCGGCGGCCCCUCCUUCACCAGCUUCUCGGCGUCCAUCUUGGCCCAGUGCACCUUCGCAUGGGCAAAAGCCCGGCGUGCACCUUCGAUGCAGACAGACCGCUUUAUGACUUCCAGCCGUGGGCAGGCAUCCACAAGCCGCCUCACCAGGCCGAAGUAGCUAUUGGGAAGGGAGUCGCCAGGCCACAUCCGGACUAUAAGGCCCCUCAUGGCCUGUUCGGCCGCCUUGUGCAGCUCGACCAGUUGCUUCAGCUGGUCGCUCACAGGCAUCGGGUGUUCGGUCCCAGUAUACUGAGACCAGAACAACUUCUCCGUCGAGCUUCCCUCCUCGGCCUGGUAGUACUUUGCGGCAUCUGACACGCUGCGGGGCAAAUCUGCGAAUGCUCCUGGAGAGCUCCAGACUCGGGUAAGUAACAAGUAAUUUACUUUCACAUGCUUGCUUUGCAUAAUGAAUGCCUUACCCGCCGCUAUCUUCCUCAUCGCCUCAAUUUCCUGGAGGGCCUUUUGGGAUUCAGCCUUGGCAUGCUUUGUGCUCUCAAGGGCCGCGACAAGCUCGGACUCUCACGUCUUCGAGUCAAGCUCCAAGGUCUCGUGCCUCUUCAUGAGAGCCUGGAGCUCUUGCUGCACCUCGCCCACCCGUGCCUCUUGUCUCUCCCGCUCGGUGCACUCCUUGGCCGAUUUGUUUUCAGCCUCGGACAGCGCUUGCUUCAGGGUUUCCACUUCGGUCGUGGUCCCUGGCACAUCCAUGAUGAUCCUAUCAUUUUGCAACCACAUCUUUAUAUAUAUAUAUAUAUACAUACAUAGACAAGGUAUUACUUACCUUUGUUCUCCUCGAGCUGCCUCUUGGCAAGGCCGAGCUCUUUCUCGGACCGCUCAAGGUUCUGCUUCAGUGCGGCGACCUCCGCAGUCAGUGCGGCAGAGGUCAGCAGCGAAGCCUACAUACACAUACAUACAUACUUAUAUUAGACUCCUACAGAUAUUAUUUGAUCCUCUAUUCGGCUUUUCUUUGUGAACACCAAACAGAGCAUCAGGGGCUACUGCCUAUGCAGUAAUAUUUUCCUAUAUUUUAAAUACUUACCUCAAAGCCUGUUAGAAGGCUGGCAUAGGCUUCAGUCAGUCCGCUCUUGGCGGACUGAACCUUCUUGAUCACCGCACUCAUAAUAGUGCGGUGCUCUUCAUCGAUGGAAGCGCCGCGAAGCGCUCCCAGCAGGUUAUCCGGUGCCUCUGGAUGGACAGAGGUCACCGGCACGGGCGGCUUGCCCCUCUUGGAAGGGGGCCGCCUGCCGGAGUCCGAAACCACUGGUGGUUCCGGCGCGGUGUUCGGCUGAGGGCCGAACUUGGAGCCCUUGGGAGUCUUGCUCCCUUUGCGCCUGGAGUCCGGAAGGUCGCCUUGAGGCGCCUCCAGGAAUAUCUCCCCCGGCUCGGUGCCCCUUGAGACAAUACCUCGACAUUAUCCGUAGGGCGAGGAGAGGAGGCAGUUGGAAGUGAUUCGCUAUUCAUAUCCGAUGAGUCCAAGGAACCGUCCGACGAGGAUACGUCGAUAUGGGCUCGGGGCGGACUGCAUAAUCAUAUUCGACGUUAUGAGAAGCAGUGCAACAAAAGUAUGCGAUGAGUUACUCUGGUAUCCAAAUACUUACGACUUCACCAGGGGCUUGGCCCUGAGUAACCACUCGCCUUCGCUGUCGGCGGCGGUGGUGGAACAGUCCGGAAGGAGAGUCCUUCCCUUCUUGGACCCUCCGGCCUCCCCGGUUCGAGCGGCCUUCCUUUUCUUGUCUCCCCAGGCUGGAGGGGGAGAAUCUUCAUCUUCCUCCUCCUCGUUUUCACGAGAGGAGUGCGUCUCGGAGUUAUCGGACGAUGAGUCCGAUACCACCUGGCGCCGGGAACUCUUUCGGGUUCCCGUGACCUUCUUCUUGAUCUUCUUCUCCAGCACCUCAUAAGGAGCCAGGGUCCGCAUCUCCGUCAAGAGAGCGUCUGCAGGGUCUUCGGGCUGAGGGGCCGGGCAGUCAAUCUGCUCCGAUGUCUCCACCCAGUCCUGUCAAAGGCAUGGGAGCUCAGAUCCCGCACAUGGCUAAACUAUGAAAAAUAAAUACCCUACAAGAUGUACAGAACUUACCGGAUUCGCAGGGCGCGUCGUGCUUAGCCCGCGGUCCUCGGUAAGGGGAGGGGGGACCUCGGCGCCCUUGAACAGCACCUUCCAGACGUCCUUAUGCAUCGUGUCGAAGAGCACGCGUAGAGUCUGGUGCUGGGAUGGGUCGAACUCCCAUAAGUUGAAAGCCCGUUGUUGACACGGGAGGAUCCGGCGGAAGAGCAUGACCUGGACUAUGUUGACAAGCUUGAGUUUCUUGCCUAUCAUGUUCCGGAUACACUUCUGGAGUCCGUCCAGCUCCACCGAUGAGCCCUAGGACAGGCCCUUCUCCUUCCAGGAAGUGAGCCGCGUGGGGAUUCUGGAUCAAAACUCAGGGGCCGCCACCCAGUUGGUGUCGGCGUGGCUCGAUGAUGUAGAACCACCCCGAUUGCCACCCCUUUAUGGUCUCCACGUUGGAGCCCUCGAGCCAUGUAACGUUGGGCAUUUUGCCCACCAUGGCUCCGCCGCAUUCCUCUUGUUGGCCGCCUACUACCUUCAGUUUGACAUUGAAGGUCUUCAGCCACAGGCCGAAGUGGGGCCGGACGCGGAGGAAAGCCUCGCACACGACGAUGAAUGCCGAGAUGUUGAGGAUGAAAUUCAGAGCUAGAUCAUGGAAGUCCAACCCAUAAUAGAACAUAAGGCCACAUGCGAAUGGAUGGAGGGGAAACCCCAGUCCGCGGACGAAGUGGGUGAGGAAAACCACCCUUUCGUAAGAUUCCGGGGUAGGGACGAUUUUCCCUACGGCUGGUAGCCGGUGCGCAAUAUCCGCGGCUAAGUAUCCGGCCCCACGCAGCUUUUUGAUGUCUUCCCCCGUAACGGAGGAGACCAUCCACUUGCCUCCCGCCCCGAACAUGUUUGGAGAGGGUUGAGGAGAAGGAUGUGGACUUGGGCGCUGGAGCUGAGUGCACGAGAAUGGAUGAGCAAGGAGGAAGAAGGCGUGGGUAGAAAAAGGUGAACCCUUAUCCCUUUAUAAGGGCGGACUAAACUAUGCGCCCCCACCAGCCUGGUAAAACUUGCUUAUCCCCCAAGCGCCGUAAUUGAUGGCGCGGUUGGGUUACCCACGUCCGUAUUGAUGGGAAUCCCGUAAUAAGGGGACACGAUCUCUGCUUCGACAAGACGUGUCAAGGAAACCGCCUCGCGAAACACGCUGAGGUUGGUUGUGAAAAACGAUUCGAAUGGUGGCCUGGUUGUGGUGUGAUGUCACACUGCGGAAUGCGUCGGCAGAUUAGAUUUGUGAAAAUAUUAUUCUCCCUACGGUUGUAUGUGGAACUUGUUUUGCAGAGCCGGACACGAUCCUCGUGUUCAAAAUCUUCUAUGAAGUAUUCGGAGGAGGAACCCGCCUUGCAAUGCCGAAGACAAUCUGCGCGCCGGACUCAUCGUCAUUGAAGCCUGGUUCAGGGACUACUGAGGGAGUCCUGGAUUAGGGGGUAUCCGGACAGCCAGAUUAUAUCCUUUGGCCGGACUGUUGGACUAUGAAGAUACAAGAUUGAAGACUUCGUCUCGUGUCCGGAUGGGACUCUCCUUGGCGUGGAAGGCAAGCUUGGCAAUACGGAUAUGUAGAUCUCCUUCCUUGUAACCGACCCUGUGUAACCCUAUCCCCCUCCAGUAUCUAUAUAAACCGGAGGGUUUAGUCCGUAGGACCAACAACAUCAAUCAUACCAUAGGCUAGCUUCUAGGGUUUAGCCUCUUUGAUCUCGUGGUAGAUCAACUCUUGUAAUACUCAUAUCAUCAAGAUCAAUCAAGCAGGAGUAGGGUUUUACCUCCAUCAAGAGGGCCCGAACCUGGGUAAAAACAUCAUGUCCCCCGUCUCCUGUUACCAUCCACCUAGACGCACAGUUCGGGACCCCCUACCCGAGAUCCGCCGGUUUUGACACCGACAGACUCCAAACCUUGGAAAAAUAACUUCUUUAAGCAUUUUAAUAGAAGUGUUAUGAUCAACACUACUAGUUGGAAUAGCUUCUACCCACUUAGUAACGUAAUCAACAGCAACUAAAAUAUGUGUAUAUCCAUUAGAGGCAGGAAAAGGUCCCAUAUAAUCAAAGCCCCAAACAUCAAAUGGUUUAAUAACAAGUGAAUAAUUCAUAGGCAUUUCUUGACGUCUACUAAUAUUACCAAUUCUUUGACAUUCAUCACAAGAUAAGACAAACUUACGGGCAUCCUUGAAGAGAGUAGGCCAAUAAAAACUGGAUUGUAAUACCUUAUGUGCAGUUCUAUCUCCAGCGUGGUGUCCUCCAUAAGCCUCGGAGUGACACUUGCAUAGGAUCUGUUCCUGUUCAUGCCCAGGUACACAACGUCUAAUAACACCAUCUACUCCUUCUUUAUAAAGAUGUGGGUCAUCCCAAAAGUAAUGUCUCAAAUCAUAGAAGAACUUUUUCUUUUGCUGGUAUGUAAAGCUAGGUGGUAUAAAUUUAGCAACAAUGUAAUUAGCAUAAUCAGCAUACCAUGGAGCAGUAUGAGAAGCAUUUAUGACAUUUAAUUUUUCAUCAGGAAAGCUAUCAUCAAUAGGUAGUGGGUCAUCAAGAACAUUUUCUAACCUAGACAAGUUGUCUGCAACGGGGUUCUCAGCUCCCUUUCUAUCAAUAAUAUGCAAAUCAAAUUCUUGUAGCAAGAGAACCCAUCUAAUAAGUCUAGGUUUAGCAUCUUUCUUUUCCAUGAGAUAUUUAAUAGCAGCAUGAUCAGUGUGAAUAGUUACUUUAGAAUCAACAAUAUAAGGUCUGAACUUAUCACAAGCAAAUACAACUACUAAGAAUUCUUUUUCAGUAGUAGCAUAAUUUCUCUGAGCAUUGUCUAGAGUUUUACUAGCAUAUUGAAUUACAUUUAAUUUCUUAUCAACUCUUUGCCCUAGAACAGCACCUACAGCAUAAUCACUAGCAUCACACAUAAUUUCAAAAGGUAAAUUCCAAUCAGGUGGCUGAACAAUAGGUGCAGAGAUCAAUACUUUCUUAAGUAUUUCAAAUGCUUCUACGCAACCAUCAUCAAAAACGAAUGGUAUAUCUUUUUGUAAUAAAUUAGUCAGAGGCCGAGAAAUUUUCGAGAAGUCCUUAAUGAACCGCCUAUGAAAACCGGCAUGACCAAGGAAACUUCUUAUACCUUUGAUGUCCUUGGGACAUGGCAUCUUUUCAAUAGCAUCAACCUUGGCUUUAUCAACCUCAAUACCUCUUUCAGAAACUUUAUGCCCUAAGACAAUACCUUCAUUAACCAUAAAGUGGCACUUUUCCCAAUUCAAGACAAGAUUAGUUUCUUCACAUCUCUGCAAAACUCGGUCAAGGUUGCUUAAGCAAUCAUCAAAAGAGGAUCCAUAGACGGAAAAAUCGUCCAUGAAAACCUCACAAAUCUUUUCACAAAAGUCAGAGAAUAUAGCCAUCAUGCAUCUUUGAAAGGUAGCAGGUGCAUUACAUAAACCAAAAGGCAUAUGUCUAUAAGCAAAAGUACCAAAAGGGCAAGUAAAAGUAGUCUUUGAUUGAUCAUUGGCUAACACGGGUAUUUGAGAGAAACCAGAAUAACCAUCUAGAAAGCAAAAAUGUGUAUGUUUGGAUAAUCUUUCUAGCAUUUGAUCGAUAAAAGGUAAGGAGUAAUGAUAUUUUCUAGUAGCUUUAUUUAAUUUGCGGAAAUCAAUUACCAUCCUAUAAUCUGUAAUAAUUCUUUGCGGGAUCAACUCAUCUUUAUCAUUAGGAACGAUAGUAAUACCUCCCUUCUUAGGGACACAAUGGACAUGACUCACCCACUGACUGUCAGCAAAAAGAUAAAUUAUACCUGCCUCAAGAAGCUUUAGUAUUUCCUUUCUUACCACUUCCUUCAUCUUAGGAUUCAGCCAUCGUUGAUGAUCACGAACUGGUUUGGCAUCUUCCUCCAGAUUUAUUUUGUGUUGACACAGAGUGGGACUAAUGCCCUUAAGAUCAUCAAGAGUAUAUCCAAUAGCAGCACGGUGCUUCUUCAGAGUUUUCAAUAAUCUCUCCUCUUCAUGCUCUGAAAGGUUAGCACUAAUAAUAAAAGGAUAUAUCUUUUUCUCAUCAAGAUAAGCAUAUUUAAGAGUAUCAGGUAACGGUUUAAGCUCAAACACGGGAUCACCCUUGGGUGGAGGAGGAUCCCCUAGGAUUUCAACAGGCAAAUUGUGUUUCAGGAUGGGUUCCUGUUUAAAGAAUACUUCAUCUAUUUCCCUUCUUUCAUUCAUAAACAUAUCAUUUUCAUGGUCUAGCAAAUAUUGUUCUAAAGGAUCACUAGGAGGUACGGCAAUAGAAGCAAGACCAAUAAUUUCAUCUUUACUAGGUAAUUCCUCUUCACGGUGUUGUCUACGAAAUUUAGAGAAAUUAAAUUCAUGAGACAUAUCACCUAAACCAAUAGUAACAACAUCCUUUUUGCAAUCUAUCUUAGCAUUAACAGUGUUCAAGAAGGGUCUACCAAAUAUAAUGGGACAAAAGCUAUCUUGUGGGGAACCAAGAACAAGAAAAUCAGCAGGAUAUUUAGUUUUCCCACACAAGACUUCAACAUCUCUAACAAUUCCAAUUGGUGAAAUAGUAUCUCUAUUGGCAUGUUUAAUUGUGACAUCAAUAUCUUCUAUUUUAGCAGGUGCAGCAUCAUGCAUAAUUUCUUUGUAUAAGUCAUGAGGUAUAGCACUAGCACUGACACCCAUAUCACAUAAGCCAUGAUAACAAUGAUCUCCUAUUUUAACAGAAAUAACAGGCAUGCCUACCAAAGAUCUAGGUUUAUCUUUAGCACAAGGUUUAGCAAUUCUAGCAGUCUCAUCACAGAAAUGAAUAACAUGCCCAUCAAUAUUAUCAGACAAGAGAGCUUUAACAAUAGCAAUAUUAGGUUCAACUUUAAAUUGCUCAACAGGUGUAUAGGUUCUAAUAUUGCUUUUACAACCCAUAGUUGAAGCUUUAGCAUGAUCUUCUAUCCUAACAGGAAAAGGUGGUUUCUCAACAUAAGCAGUAGGAACAAUAGGAUCAUUAUAAGUGAUAGUUCUUCAACUUUUAUAGGUGCAGCUACUUUUACUUCUAUGGGAGGAUGGUAUUUAAACCACUUCUCCUUAGGGAGAUCAACAUGAGUAGAAAAAGAUUCACAGAAAGAAGCUACUAUCUCAGAGUCAAGUCCAUAUUUAGUGCUAAAUUUACGGAAAACAUCGGUAUCCAUAAAAGAUUUAACACAAUCAUACUUAGGUGUCAUACCUCACUCCUUACCUUCGUCGAGGUCCCAAUCUUCAGAGUUGCAUUUAAUUCUUUCCAAUAAAUCCCAUUUGAAUUCAAUAGUCUUCAUCAUAAAAGAGCCAGCACAAGAAGUAUCGAGCAUGGUGCGAUUGUUAUCAGAAAGCUGAGCAUAUAAAUUGUGAAUAAUCAUUUCUCUUGAGAGCUCAUGAUUGGGGCAUGAAUAUAACAUUGAUUUAAGCCUCCCCCAAGCUUAAGCGACACUUUCUCCUUCGUGAGGCUAGAAAUUAUAUAUAUAAUUACGAUCAUGAUGAACAAGAUGCAUAGGAUAAAACUUCUGAUGAAAUUCCAAUUUCAAUAGUUUGUAGUUCCAUGACCCCGUAUCAUCACAUAGCCUAUACCAUGUCAAUGCAUCUUCCUUCAAAGAUAAAGGGAAGACCUUCUUCUUAAUAACAUCUCCGGAUACACCUGCAAGCUUAAAUAAUCCACAAACUUCAUCCACAUAUAUUAGGUGCUCAUCAGGAUGCACUGUUCCGUCUCCUGCAAAAGGAUUAGCUAGAAGUUUUUCUAUCAAAGCCGAAGGAAUUUCAAAGCAGACAUUUUCAUUUUCAGUAGGUUCAAUGGGUUGAGGAGCAACUCUUUGCUCUACUGGUCGGGGUGAAGAUACCCCGAACAAGCCCCUCAGAGGAUUACUUUCCAUAGUAACAAGUGACAGUAAAUUUCAGCACACUAUAUAAAAAUUUCCUUACCAAAUUCCACCUACCAAAGGCGCUUCACUCCCCGGCAACGGCACCAGAAAAGAGUCUUGAUGACCCACAAGUAUAGGGGAUCUAUCGUAGUCCUUUCGUUAAGUAAGAGUGUCGAACCCAACGAGGAGCAGAAGGAAAUGAUAAGCGGUUUUCAGCAAGGUAUUCUCUGCAAGCACUGAAAUAAUAGGUAACACAUAGUUUUGUGAUAGGAUAAUUUGGAACGAGUAACAAGUAACAAAAGUAAAUAAAGUGUAGCAAGGUGGCCCAAUACUUUUUGUAGCAAAGGACAAGCCUGGACAAACUCUUAUAUGAUGUAAAGUGCUCCCGAGGACACAUGGGAAUAUCGUCAAGCUAGUUUUCAUCAUGUUCAUAUGAUUCGCGUUCGGUACUUUGAUAAUUUGGUAUGUGGGUGGACCGGUGAUUGGGUGCUGCCCUUACUUGGACACGCAUCCCACUUAUGAUUAACCUCUGUUGCAAGCAUCCGCAACUACAACAAAAGUAUUAAGGUAAACCUAACCAUAGCAUGAAACAUAUGGAUCCAAAUCAGCCCCUUACGAAGCAACGCAUAAACUAGGGUUUAAGCUUCUGUCACUCUAGCAACCCAUCAUCUACUUAUUACUUCCCAAUGCCUUCCUAUAGGCCCAAAUAAUGGUGAAGUGUCAUGUAGUUGACGUUCACAUAACACCACUAGAGGAAAUACAACAUACAUCUCAUCAAAAUAUCGAACGAAUACCAAAUUCACAUGACUACUAAUAGCAAGACUUCUCCCAUGUCCUCAGGAACAAUGUAACUACUCACAAAGCAUAUUCAUGUUAAUAAUCAGAGGGGUAUUAAUAUGCAUAUAGGAUAUGAACAUAUGGUCUUCCACCAAAUAAACCAACUAGCAUCAACUACAAGGAGUAAUUAACACUACUAGCAACCCACAUGUACCAAUCCCGGACUUGGAGACAAGAAUUGGAUACAAGAGAUGAACUAGGGUUUUGAGAGGAGAUGGUGCUGGUGAAGAUGUUGAUGGAGAUUGCCCUCUCCCGAUGAGAGGAGCGUUGGUGAUGACGAUGGCGAUGAUUUCCCCCUCCCGGAGGGAAGUUUCCCCGGUAGAACAGCUCCGCCAGAGCCCUAGAUUGGUUCCGCCAAGGUUCCGCCUCGUGGCGGCGGAGUCUCGUCCGGGAAGAUGGCUUAUAAUUUUUUCCUCAUCGAAAGACUCCAUAUAGCAGAAGAUGGCCACCGGAGGGCCACCAGGGGGCCCACGAGGUAGGGGGCACGCCCAGGGGGGUAGGGCGCGCCCCCACCCCCGUGGGCAGGGUGUGGCCCCCCGGUGAACUUCUUGCGCUCAGUAUUUUUUAUUAUUCUGAAAUCGUCUUCCGUGAAGUUUCAGGACUUUUGGAGCUGUGCAGAAUAGGUCUCUAAUAUUUGCUCCUUUUCCAGCCCAGAAUCCCAGCUGUCGGCAUUCUCCCUCUUUAUGUAAACCUUGUAAAAUAAGAGAGAAUAGGCAUAAGUAUUGUGACAUAAUGUGUAAUAAUAGCCCAUAAUGCAAUAAAUAUCGAUAUAAAAGCAUGAUGCAAAUUGGACGUAUCAAUUUUGAACACAAAAAAACUAUGUAGUUCAAACAAGUUAAAAAAAAUGAAAUCCCUUUGUAACAGACGAGUUUCCGUAUGAAACCCUCAUACUUCGAAAGACAUUGGCCAUUUUGUACACGAAGUGCAUACAGUUUUUGCCGUAACCCUCUCUACUUUCUUGCACAUGCUAUGUGGGUGAAAUGAUGAUACCAUGCCAACUUUCAACCUUUUCAGAGUUCAUUUGAAAUGCUUUUCAAUUUCAGGGUCUUAUAGCUCAAAAUAAUCAGUAAAUGCAUGAAAAAUAACAAAUGAAGUCAGAAAGGGUUGAAAAUUAAUGAUGUGGCUUUGAAUGGUGCAUUUUGAACACAAAAAAGUCUGGAGUUCAAAUAAGUUCAAAAAAAUGAAAUCCCUUUGUAGCAGACGAGUUUCCGUAUGAAACCCUCAUACUUCGAAAGAGAUUGUCUGUUUUGUACACGAAGUGCAUCUAGUUUUUGCCGUAACCCUCUCUACUUUCUUGCACAUGCUAUGUGGAUGAAAUGAUGAUACCAUGCAAAAAGAAAAUUAACUAAUUUUUUUUAUAAAACUCUAAUAACAAAAGGAAUGAACUAAAAAGCUUUUAUAAACCUAUAGUAUUUNNNNNNNNNNNNNNNNNNNNNNNNNNNNNNNNNNNNNNNNNNNNNNNNNNNNNNNNNNNNNNNNNNNNNNNNNNNNNNNNNNNNNNNNNNNNNNNNNNNNNNNNNNNNNNNNNNNNNNNNNNNNNNNNNNNNNNNNNNNNNNNNNNNNNNNNNNNNNNNNNNNNNNNNNNNNNNNNNNNNNNNNNNNNNNNNNNNNNNNNNNNNNNNNNNNNNNNNNNNNUAAGGCCUCCUUUGGUUUGGAAGAAUUUCAUAGGAAUUUUAGAGGAUAGGAUUCUUAUAGGAUUUUUUCCUUUAGAGCCCUUUGGUUCAUAGGAAUAGAUUCCUAUUCCUCCGGAGGAUUGGUUCCUAUCCUCCACAUUUCAUAGGAAAAUAAAAAUGAGCCUAGACUCAAUGGAAAAAUUCCUUUGGUGUCAACCAAAUGACAUCUCGUUUCCUAUUCCUACUCAUAUGAUUUGAGAUACAUGACAUCUCAUUUCCUACAAAAUUCCUAUUCCUAUGGUAAUCCUAUCCUAUGAACCAAAAGAGGCCUAAGUUUUUUUGUAAGUAGAAACAAAAUAAAAUAAAUAAAUCAACAAUUUUUUUUUUAAAAAUGCCAACUACUGGGCUACCACGGCAUGAAUACGACAAGAAACCCUACCAUGGGCCAGGAUUCAGGCCCGUAGAAGGCCCGGUAGGCCCAUCAGGCAUAGCAGUGACAAUUAGGCCCGUAAGCCUGCAAUUGAGAGGAGCUCGAGAGGGGUGCGGCAGUGGGGCUUAUAAACCACUCCGCGCCCCUCUCAACUAGCGAGGUGGGACUAAAGUUUUGGCCACGGGGAGCACGAGGCCUUUGGUCCCGGUUGGUGGCACCAACCGGUACCAAAGGGGGGCAUUCGUACCGGUUGNNNNNNNNNNNNNNNNNNNNNNNNNNNNNNNNNNNNNNNNNNNNNNNNNNNNNNNNNNNNNNNNNNNNNNNNNNNNNNNNNNNNNNNNNNNNNNNNNNNNNNNNNNNNNNNNNNNNNNNNNNNNNNNNNNNNNNNNNNNNNNNNNNNNNNNNNNNNNNNNNNNNNNNNNNNNNNNNNNNNNNNNNNNNNNNNNNNNNNNNNNNNNNNNNNNNNNNNNNNNNNNNNNNNNNNNNNNNNNNNNNNNNNNNNNNNNNNNNNNNNNNNNNNNNNNNNNNNNNNNNNNNNNNNNNNNNNNNNNNNNNNNNNNNNNNNNNNNCCCUCGACGCCAACUGCCCCAACGCCGACCGCCGUGCCUUGCCACCCCCUGUAAACACACCUGCCGCUCCACGUGCCCUUGCGUGUGCCCGCUCCGACGCCGGCGCCGCUCCUCGUGCACCUGCGCCCCUGCCCUGCCCCGCCGGCGCCGCCGCCGCCAUGCCCUGCCCCGCUGGCCCCUAGAGCUUUCCUUUAUUUUUUUUGUUAUAUAUAUAUGCUAUUUAUUUAGAUGUUUUCAGAUGUUUUUAGUUGUUCAUAAAAGAAACUUAGAUGUCAAAAAUGUUUUUUAUGUUCAUAUAUAGAAAGUUUUUAUAAAAAUGUAUAUAUGUAUGUAUGUUAUCUGUGUAUAUAUGUUCAUAUAGUUUUAUGUUCAUAUUUUGUUAUAUAUAUAUAUGCUUUUUUUCUUCGAUCUUCUCCUCUUUUUAUUUCUUACCCCCCGACCCUCUCGCUCGACCAAAACUCUCGAGGACACCCAAACACUAGAAAAAAAUGAUGCCGGUCUCCUACCCCCUCCCGCCGCGCCCCUACCCGACAAACACUCUCGAGGCCACCCAAAUUUACCAAGUUAAAAGAUUGUUGUCAUCGAGGCCACCCCAAACCCUUGAAGCAUUGCCGAGGCCACCCCAAACCCUUGAAGCAUUGUCGAGGCCACCCCAAACCCUAGAGAAGCAGCAUCGAGGCCACUAAUAUGAUUCCUUAUUGUGAUUAGCUAGCUAGUUCUACGUUUGCCACUAAUAUAUCCAUCUUUCAUGUUUGAAUAAUAAUUGCCAUGUUGUAAAUAUUUGCAGAAACUAUGGAGCACCCCUGAGACGAAGCAACAGAAGCGGUGUUGGGGGACAUAAUCGCACAAGGAAGUGAUGCCGUCAUGUCGUUUCUCAACGAAACCGAUGGUCCGGAAGGAUAGGGUGAAGAAGCAGGCUAUGAUUAUGAUGGCUCCGGUGACACAAUGCCGGUGCAAGAAGGAGAUCUUGAUGACGGCUCCGGUGACCCAAUGCCGGUGCAAGAAGGAGACCGUGAUGACGGCUCCGGUGACCGAACCGAGUCCGGCCAGGUAUAUAUAUUAGUUAAGCCUGUGCUGACUAGCUAAUUGAUGCAUUCAUUGUUUUGGUAUAUGUACACAUAUUAAUUAACUCUCAUCUUUCUUCUUUUUUCUAGCCCUCCGGGUCGAGCACAACUUCGGUAAAGAGACGAGGCCCGAAGAAAAAUUAUGCUCGGAUGAAAGGUUUGAGAUCACAGCAAUCGCGUGUGAUGGCAUGCCGAUUGAACCAUCCGGACAAAGGAAGCAUUUGCUGCUCAGUGUGAGGUUCUUGUUAGGGACAAGAUCCCGAUCAGUAUCCACCAAUGGUGAAAGCCUAAGAAUGAAGACCCUGAGGUGUCUUAUGUCUUCGAUAUGCAGAAAGAUGAUCUUUGGACCGCGCUGAAGGCAAAUUUCACCCUACCGGCAAAGGAGGAUCCGGAGAAGCCAGUUAAAGAGUAAUUGAUCAAGUCUCAUGAUCUUAAGAAGAUGGCAGAUCUAUUAAGGAGGUGGAAGAAUGAGCUGAAAACAUCGUUUGUCGACAAAGACAAGACACCAGAAUUCACCGGCCGGUAUGAGAAGAUCAGAGAUCAUUGGCCCACAUUUGUGGCCCACAAGACAUCGAACAAGAGUAAGAAGAUGUUAGUGACAAACAAGAACAAUGUUGCGAAGAAGAAGCAUCACCAUCACACAGGGUCAGGUGGCUACCUCAAAGCUCGGCCGUUGUGGGCCAAGACUGAGAAUGACCUGCUUGAUAAAGGGGUCGAACCAGAGACAUUGCACUGGCCAGACCAUUGCCGGACUUUGUUCUUUGGGGUUGGCGGAAGCUUGGACCCUGUAACAGGGAAGUGCGUUUGGAUGAACGAGCAACUGCGAAUACCCGUCACGAAGCUUCAGGAGUAUAUCGCCGCAGCGCAGGAGGGGACGUUCGUUCCAAACAAAGAGAAUGACGAGCUCACAAUGGCCCUCGGGAAUCCCGAGCACCCUGGACGGACACGAGGCACGCCAGGCUCCAUUUCAUGGAAGACUGGGUUUCCCGACGCAGGCGGUUACAAAUGCCAGGAGAGGAGGAAGAAAGUGGAGCAGAUCCAAAUUCAGGCGCUACACGCAAGGGUACAAGCGAUAGAGCAACGAGAAGCAGAUCGCAACAAGCGACCCACCGAAGCUUCCCUAGAAGCUACCCCGCCAUCUCAGCGGAGAAGCAACGUGGCUUCCACCGAGCAGCAGCAGCUGGAGCCUGUCUUCACGGCUCCUGCUAGCUACCCCGUGGACUUAAUCAUGGAGUCUCAAAAUUGCCACCUUAUGACGCAAUGGAAGAAUUUGAAAGUCAAGGCGGCUGUUGGCUCUGUUGCACCUGCUGAACCUGGCGCAACUUUUCGCUGCCGGCCGAUUCCAGAAGGAUAUGCUAGGGUGAUGGUGGAUGAAAUAACGGACGGGUUUGAGGACCUCGAGCUUGACCACCCUACCGGUGAAGGGGAGACUCGCUGGGUUCUUCUCUGAAGACUCCAUGCCUAUGGCGGAAGGAGCUCAUCAACCUUCCGAACUGGACGCCUCCACCUCCUCCUCCUCCUCCUCCGGCGAGUCAGGGUACUCCGCCUCCUCCUCCGGUGAGUGAUCAGGGCACUCAGCCUCCUUCUCUAGCGCGUGGCGGCACUCCGCCUCCUUCUCCGCCUGCGCCGGCGCGCCCAAGCAGCUAGCCUACUCCUUCUCCGCCUCGUCGGCAAGGGCAGAAGAGACCCGCCGCCACUCCGGCUGCUUCGGCGCGUCAUAGUCCUUCUCCUCAUAAGCAAGGAAAGAAGACAGCCAUAGCCGCUUCGUCUGCUGUAGCGUCUAGCAGUACAUCCAGAGGCGGGAGGCAAUACAGAUUCGGUCCUUCUCUGAAGACUCCAGAGAAGUUACCAUACGAUAGGACCCCGGAGGAAAAACGAGAAGAUCGUGCGAGACGAAGUGAGGAACUUCUUUGAAGGGGUGAAAGCAAAGAAACAUCCACCUCCGGAGGAGAAGAUAGAUCCGGUGAAAGCGAAGCACACUGUGGAAGCCCUGAAGAAACCACCAAAGUCUCCUCCGAAAGGCAACUAUGAGCGCAUUAUUGAAAGGUCAUUUAUCGAAGCGGAGCGGUCGAGAAGUACUGUCAGUGAUCAAAGGUUAGCAGAAUGACGAGCUGGGAAAAAAAUUGCCCAGCUUGGCGAACAAGCGAACCAAUCGUUCCCCUCGCUCAAGGUGUCUAGCGAUAUCAUCGCUAACGAUUCGAGGAUGGUGCCCGGUUUAACAAUCUUGAAGAUUACCUUGCCCGACGAUGUACAUUAUGAAUUCUUGGAGGUGGACAAACACAGAUAUGAGUACGGGAAGCUUCUCCUCAAAGAUGAAAGGUCUCUAACAACGAUGAUGCAAAGAUUCCAUGAUUGGUACAUGAAAACCUGCAGAGAGUCUGGGGGGAGGAAUACUUUGACGCUGAGAGUUAAAGAGGAGCAUGACCUCGUUGGAACUGAUCUAUUGAAUGUUCCAUUUGAGGAGUUCUUCCAGUUUUUCAAUCAGAGGGCCCUCGAUAAAUUAACGGUCACUUGCUACUGUCUGUAAGUACUACUUCUAUCAUUAAGUCUCUAUAUAUAGGUCAGCUCUUUCAUUGCAUGUAUUUAUAAUUAUCCUCACUAUAUUAUGCAGAUUGAAGAUCGCCGAAUUGAAGAAAAGACAAAUCGGUGAUAUUGGGUUCAUUAACCCAAAUAUCAUAGAUGCAUAUUCGGUUGAAUUUCAGAAAAAAGAUACCAAGGCCAACUUGCUACGAUCGUUGGUAUUAAAUCAAACCAAAGCUAUAAUACUCUUUCCUUACAACUUCAAGUGAGUGUUACUUUCUUGUGCAUAUUCGGUUUCCCUUAUUAGUCGAGGUUAUAGUAAUGUAAUUGAUGAGUUAUGCAUGCGUGAGCAGGUUCCACUAUAUUCUUCUAGAGAUUAAGCUCGAGCAGGGACUAGUAACCAUCUUAGACUCGAGACGAGAAGAUCCCAAGGAGUAUGCAGACACGACUGAAAUUCUCGAGAAGUAAGUUAAAUCGAUCAUUAUCGCACCAUAUCGGCAACUUUGUUCACUUCCUGAUAUCAAGUAAUUGUUUUCUUUGUCUGGCAGGGUUUGGAAAAAUUCACCUCAAAAGCUCCGGGACUGCCGAAGAAGCUGGAAUUUAAACACCCGAAAGUAAGUACUACUAGCAUGUUCUGCGCAUCUCCUAGUGAUUCAAGUGCUAGUUUCAUCAAUACCAUUUAGCAUGCUUGCUUAUCAGUUUGAUUGACCUCUAUUUCUUGUAAAGUGGUUGUGGUAGGAAGCCGGGAAUAAUUACUGUGGAUACUACGUUUGCGAGUCCAUCCGCCACACGACCUGUAAGUGGGGCUACACUAAAAAAUAAUACGAAGUGCGUAAGCAAUAAUAUUCAGAAUUUUACUUUAUUACCAUCUUUUGUGUUGAGUUUCAUUCAUUCCUAUAUAUGUAUUGACCCCCUUCUUCAAAUUAGAUGUUCCAGAUGCAGGAUGAACUCCUAGCACCAGAUCGUAUGCAAGGAAUUCAAGAGGAAUUGGCGGCAUUCUUUCUUGACCACGUGAUCGAUAAAGAUGGAGAAUACUAUGUGGACCCUGUGUUCAUAUAUAAUUAGGGGAUUAUAUUGUAAGAGAUCUUAUAUUGUAUAUAUGUAGCUUGUAGCGUCGGAUAGAUAUACGAAAACUUGUUGUUCGACCAAUCUCUUGAAGAAGGAGAUGUCGAUAUCACUUCUCUCUGUAUGCAUAUGUUCAUGACGAUCUUCUGUUUCCUUCAUUUUUGCUUACUAGCUAGCGUGUCGAGUGCUCUCUAUACGUAUAGUACGUAGUGUCGACCAAGCACGGAGAUAAGAGAGGAAACUUCUCUCUAUUAAUUAAUUAGCUACCUAACACAAUAUAUGAAACACCUUAAUUAACCAUACAAAACCCCCAAAUCCCCCCCUCCUUCAGAAAAAAACAAAAACCCUAGCCCCUGAACAGCUGACGCGUGGAUGCCUAUUGGUCCCGGUUGGUGCCACCAACCGAGACCAAAGGCCCCCCUGCCUAGGUUGGCCGCAGCGGCCACGUGGAGGCGCAUCUGUCUCGGUUCGUGUAAGAACCGGGACUAAAGGCCAAAGGCAUUAGUAACGACCUUUUAGUCCCGGUUCCAAAACCGGGACAGAAGGCCCUUAUGAACCGGGACAAAUGGCCCUUUUUCUACUAGUGUUUAUGGAAUAACAGAGACAACAGCCACAUCGAGUGGAUCUGUAACAGCCACAAAACCUUCCAGUCCACCCAGUGGGGCUGCACUUCAAGAGCUCGUAAGUUUUGCGGCUUGCUGCUCAUGUGUUGGUCAUUUCAUUAAUUUGCUCAAUGUUGCCACCUGUUAACCAUGUCAUUGUAUUCCUUUGCUAGCACACACACGUGUGCACGUUGUACCACAAGUCACAAGAUGGAGAAGAUGCAUUUCCUAUUGAUGCUUUGUGGGAUGAAGUUGAAUGGGAAAAGCAAGUGGCAAGCAUUCAUUGCUAAUUCCCUCAAGACUGCUAGGGCCAAUGAAGAUGAAGGUGAUGAUCGUUGCUCCGGCCACCCAUGUCCCUAGGAACUGGAGGAGGUGGGAGGUGGAGAAGGAGAAGGGGUGGCGGCCAAGAUGAUGAAGAAGUUUGAGGACAUCAUGGUUAAGGAGGAGACAUGUGCCAAGACGGCAAUGCAUACUUCAAUUUCUAAAUACCAUAGAUUUUCUCGGUUUGGUUUAGAAAAAAGAAGUCAAGAAAAAUACCACAAAACUACAUGGAUUGGCGAUACUAUUGUUUAUAAAACAGCACUAGUAUUUGUUCAUGUCAAACACAAUAAAAUUUUCAAUUUUGCACAUCUAGAUAUACCCUAAAUAUUAAACAUCUAAGUCCUAAGUUAUUGGUUUUACGCGAAGAUUCGUGUGGUAUUUUCUUCUCCUUUCUUAUGCUGCAUUGAGUCACUCAGAUGUGCAAUGUGCCCUAGACAAACCACCGUGAUUUCUAGAUAAAGUACAUUAUUCUUCAAAAUACUCCAAAAGAAGGGGUAUAUUUAUGGUUUAUCUUUGUAAACUAUUGUAAGCCCCUCAAGACAUGUCAGGUUACAAAGCGCAUCAGCCUAACUCCAUAAACACCUUCAAUCAAUCAGACUCAUCACUUUCACUUUCACUUUCUUGAUCACAAACAUUCGAAUCUUGGACCUCAGUUUGCCUAAGGGAUUCAUCACUUGUACCUUCUGCAGUAGCCCUGAGAUGCUUGGAGACCCCAGUAACAAGGAACCCGCGCGUAAAACCGAGGCAACGCUUCUUCACCUUGGCCACUCCUCGCAGAGCCUGCGUCCCCAGGUCAACAGUGAGCACCGUCACCAUAGCUCCGUCGCUGGUGCCCUGGGCCAGCAUGUAAACUACGUCCUCGUCCUCAUCGGCGACGCCCAUGGUGGGGAGAGCCAUGCGAAGACGCCUCAGGGACAAGACCCCCUCGGCGGCCUUGUGGGCUCUGCCGCUCAUGAACUUAUGCAUUAGCUUGUAAUGCCUCGCGACGUUGGAGGGGACGCCGACGCUCGCCGACCAGACGGAGCACCGCUGCCGCCAGUCGCUCCACGAGGUGGCCGGGAUGGGCAUGCUCCAGGUGGUGGCCUUCCAGGUGUCCUCGGCGUACUGGGCCUGCGAGAGGAAGAAGCCAGUAGCGUUGCGCGUCACCCGUAUGCCAAGGAAGUAGUGGAGCGCUCCCAGGUCCUUCAUGGAGAGCUCGUGCGUGAGCUUGGCGAUGAUGCGUUGAAGGAAGGCAGCCGAGCUCACCGUGAGAACGAUGUCGUCCACGUAGAGCAGUAGAUAGGCGGCAUCGGCGCCGGACGCGAGGACGAAGAGCGAGCUGUCCGAGCGCGUGACGGUGCAGCCGAGGGUGGCGAGGAAGCUGGCGAACCGAAGGAACCAUGCUCGCGGCGCUUGUUUGAGCCCAUAGAGGGACUUUGUGAGUCGGCAGACGUGGUCGGGCUUGCCCGCGUCGACAAAACCUGCAGGCUGUAGACAAGAAACUUCCUCCUGGAGCGUGCCAUGCAAGAAGGCGUUCUUGACAUUCGAAUUGCCGAACGGGCCACCCACGCGAGGCGGCGAGGGUGAGCACAGUGCGAAUGGACGCCGGCUUCAUGACAAAGGAGAAGGUCUCGCCGUAGUCGACGCCGGCGCGCUGGCGAAACCCGCGCACGACCCACCGCGCUUUGUAGCGCUCGAGUGAGCCGUCGGAGCGCGUCUUGUGCUUGAAAAUCUAUUUGCCGGUGAUGAUGUUAGCGCGCGGAGGAUGAGGCACCAGCUCCCACGUGCGGUUGCUGACGAGCGCGGUGAACUCCUCGCGCAUGGCAGAUACCCAGUUCGGAUCACGAAGAGCAUCACGAACGGAACGGGGAAGCGGAGAGACGUCCGGCGAGGUGUUGACGGAGGCGACGCAGACGUAGUCGUCGGCGUAGCACGUGUUCGGACGGAACACGCCGGCCCGAGCGCGCGUGGUGAUCCGCGAGUCGCCAGCUGUUGGUGAAGAAGAGCCGGCGGGGACGACCGCGCGCUGCGCGGGAGCGACCGGAUUUAAAUCUGGGCCGCUUGAUGCAUAUCCAUUGGUGCAGCUUGAACUGGGAGAAGUGGCGCUCGACGAAGACGAGGCAGAGCAACUGGAUGGCGAUCGCAUGGCCGAGCUUGAACCUAGAGGAGUGGCGCCCAACGAGGAAGAGGCGGAGCUGCUGGAUGACGAUCACGCGGCCGAGCUUGAACCAGCGGCGCCCGCGCGCUGGUGUGAGGCAUGAGGGCCGAACUCAAUGGAGUCAGGCGAGCUGGCGUCACAGGGCGGCGGAGGAGCAGUGAGGGGAACCUGCAGGGGCGCGGGAACGUAGCGUGGCGCCUGUGUAGCGCCGACGGCGGGCAGAUCAGGAGCGACAGCAAAGGGGAAGUGAGUCUCAUGGAAGCGAACAUGGUGAGAGGUGAGAACUCGUCGGGUGCGGGGAUCAUAACAAUGAUAACCACGAUGAUCUGGGGGAUACCCAAAAAACACGCAGGCGACGGACCGGUGGUCGAGUUUGUGGCGCGAGGUAGAAGAAGUGUUGGGGUAGCAGAGGCAACCGAACACGCGCAAAGUGGAGUAGUCAAGGGCCGUACCAAGAAGCAGUUCAUGCGGUGACUGUGGUGAGGAAGUGGUGCAUGGUUUGUAGUUGAGGAGGAGAGUAGCAAUGCCAAGGGCUUCCGCCCAAAAACGCGCCGGCAUAAAUGCGUGAAAGAGCAGAGAGCGCACGCUAUUAUUCAAGGUGCGCAACAUGCGCUCGGCCUUGCCAUUUUGUUGGCUGGUGUACGGACAAGAGAGACGCAGGACAGUGCCGUGCUUGGAGAGGAGCGAUUGAACAGCGAGACUGUCGAAUUCCUUGCCAUUAUCAGUUUGAAAGGCAAGAACAGGGUGCUUGAAUUGUGUCUGAACGUAGGCGUAGAAGGCAGUAAGAACAGAGAGCACAUCAGACUUAUGACGCAAAGGGAAAGUCCAAACAUAAUGUGUGCAACUGUCGAGUACAACCAGGUAGUACAUGAAGCCAGACACACUAGCUACAGGCGAAGUCCAAACAUCUAAAUGCAAGAGCUGAAAAGGGAAAUAACUAGGAGUGUGGGAAGAAGAAAACGGCAGACGGGCAUGCUUGCCCAACCUGCAGGCGUGGCAGGUGUGUGGAGCCGAGGGCGCACAGGUGAAGGGAAACUGGUGUAGAACCCGUCGAAGCGCGUCGUCUCCAGGAUGGCCGAGCCGCUGGUGCGACAACUCCACGGAGGCGACACCGGCGAACGGAGGCGAGGAGGACGGCGCACCGCAGGGCGUGACGGGGUACAUGUCUCCAGUGGAAUCACAUCGCCGGAUCACCUGGCGGGUGUGGAUGUCCUUGACAGAGAAGCCAAAUGCAUCAAACUCGAUAGAAAUAGGAUUCUCACGCGUAAGUUUCCGAACAGACAGCAGAUUGGUGAUAAGUGAGGGGGAAAGCAAAACAUUGCGAAGAACAAGCGAAGAAUUGGUGGUGAUCAGAGAGCCGUGGCCAGUGUGCGUGAUCGGGAGACGACCGCCGUUGCCGACCACGAUCUGAUUAGGGAAUGAAUGAGGAGAAAGGGAAUGGAGGGUACCAGGAUUGGCGGUCAUGUGCGCCGUCGCGCCGGAGUUGAGGUACCAGUCUGAGGUGCUUCCGGCAGACAGAGCCGAGGUGGACGCGGCCUGUAGGGCCGUGUGCAGCGGCCCCAUGUCCCAGGGCUGGGGCUGCGCCGGUGGUGGCGCGGNNNNNNNNNNNNNNNNNNNNNNNNNNNNNNNNNNNNNNNNNNNNNNNNNNNNNNNNNNNNNNNNNNNNNNNNNNNNNNNNNNNNNNNNNNNNNNNNNNNNNNNNNNNNNNNNNNNNNNNNNNNNNNNNNNNNNNNNNNNNNNNNNNNNNNNNNNNNNNNNNNNNNNNNNNNNNNNNNNNNNNNNNNNNNNNNNNNNNNNNNNNNNNNNNNNNNNNNNNNNNNNNNNNNNNNNNNNNNNNNNNNNNNNNNNNNNNNNNNNNNNNNNNNNNNNNNNNNNNNNNNNNNNNNNNNNNNNNNNNNNNNNNNNNNNNNNNGGACCAAGAACGCCGGCACCGGGCGCGCCAGGGCAUGGGCUAGGCUUGCACCAGGACAGUCCAAGAGUUGGUGCCGGGGGCCUGACCAGGAAGAGUAGGCGGACGGGGUGGCGGUGGCGUAGACGAGGAAGACGCCCCGGGACUGCCACGGCCACGACACUUGUGGCGGACACGCCCACGACUAGCGCUGGAGUCAGCCGGCGGGGCAGCGUUGGGUGCGGACAGGGGCGGCGACAGAGUGAUACGCCCGACCACCAUGGCGUGGGCAUGCUAAAUGCGCGCCGUCUGCUCAGCACGGUGCUUCUCCAACAGCAAGAACAAGCGGGCCUGCAGAAAGCUGGGCAGGGGCAUGCGCGAGGUAAGAUGAGGUAUGGCGCCGUGGUACUGGCGCCCAAGCCCAUGGAUCAUGUUGAAAAGCUGCUGGGUCUCAGAGACGGGCUGGCCGAGAUCGCGAAGUUGGUCGGCGAAUGUCUUCAGACGCGUGCAAUACUGCAUGAUCGAGAGGUCGCCCUGCACAAGGGCGUGGUACUCGGCGUCGACGUACACGGCGCGAGAGAGCUAGUUGUCGUGGAAGAUCGCCUCGAUCGCGGCCCAAAGCACGGCCGCCGUAUCCUCGGGCUGCAUGACGACGUCGAGUAGCUCCGGCGAGAUCGUGGCGUAGAGCCAGUGAACUACGCAGUGGUCGAUCAUGACCAACUCGGGGUCGCGGCGGCCUAGCGCAGCAUCGGCGAUGAUGUGGUCGCGGAUGCCGAACAUGCCCACGAUGGUGUGGAAGAAGCGGCGCCACUGCGCGUAGUUGCCGGCAUGGAGAUCGAGCGUGAACGAGACAUGGUGGCGAAUGUCGAUGGUUUGAAGAACGGAUGCCGGGAAGGCGCGCAGAGGUGGGAGGAGGGCGUUCGGGCGGUCGACGGCGGUGGUGUUCUGGAGGACGCCGGCGGCAGCAUGGUCGCCGUCGUCGGAGGAGGUGGGAGAGGGGACGGGGUUAUCGUCCAUGGCAGCGGAAGAGGGAGGUGGCACAGUCGCAAAGGGGUUGGAGUCCUGCACAUCCACUAGUAGAUAAAGGGCCUUUAGUCCCGGUUCAUAAGGGCCUUUAGUCCUAGUUCUGGAACUGGGACUAAAGGGCCGUUACUAAAGCCUCCCCCUUUAGUCCCGGUUCUUAUACGAACCGGGACUAAAGGCCCUCCACGUGGCCGCUGUCUGGAGGUCCACCUUUAGUCCCGGUUGGUAACACCAACCAGUACUAAAGGAAAUUUUAUGAUAUUUUAUGAUAUUUUUUUGAUUUUUUUAUUUUCAAUUUUCUGAAUUAUUUUAACCUCUAAUCUCUAAUCACCCCUCAUCACUGCUUAAUUUAACCUUUAAUCUCUAAUCACCCCUCAUCGUUCCAAAUCAUCUAACUUCCUGAACGGUCACCCAUUCUCUCACUACUCCAGCCUGAGCACGCUUAACUUCCGGGUUCUAUUCUCCCUCAUUUCCAAGUCUGCUCUUGUUGUUUUCCUGACAAUAGUAAGAUGCCAAUCCUAUUAACCCUCAGGAAUUUAGCUUGAGCAUGAAGUCACAUGUUUCACUGUUUGAGUUUGAAACUAUUGUUCUAAAAAACAAUAAUUAGUUAGUAACACUAAUAUUUCUUGAAUAAGUAGUUUGACCACAGUUUGACCCUAGUUUGACCAGAUUUGACCAAAAUUCAAAAAACUGAAAUAAUUAUUUAGUAACACUAAUAUUUCUUGAAUAAGUAGUUUGGCCAUUGUUUGACCACAGUUUGACCAUAGUUUGACCAUAUUUGACCAAAAUUCAAAAAAACUGAAAUAAUUAUUUAGUAACACUAAUAUUCUUGAAUAAUUAUUUAGUAACACUAAUACUUCUUGAAUAAGUAGUUUGACCAGAUUUAACAAAAAUUAAAAAAAAAC